RNAcentral lists this ribosomal RNA (497 nucleotides) under uncultured bacterium. RNAcentral describes it as "partial 16S ribosomal RNA". It matches the Rfam family "Bacterial small subunit ribosomal RNA", at positions 28 to 507 of the family's 1533-position model. The record is from RNAcentral.
GAUGAACGCUGGCGGCGUGCCUAAUACAUGCAAGUCGAGCGAACAGAUAAGGAGCUUGCUCCUUUGACGUUAGCGGCGGACGGGUGAGUAACACGUGGAUAACCUACCUAUAAGACUGGGAUAACUUCGGGAAACCGGAGCUAAUACCGGAUAACAUAUUGAACCGCAUGGUUCAAUAGUGAAAGGCGGCUUUGCUGUCACUUAUAGAUGGAUCCGCGCCGUAUUAGCUAGUUGGUAAGGUAACGGCUUACCAAGGCAACGAUACGUAGCCGACCUGAGAGGGUGAUCGGCCACACUGGAACUGAGACACGGUCCAGACCCCGACGGGAGGCAGCAGUAGGGAAUCUUCCGCAAUGGGCGAAAGCCUGACGGAGCAACGCCGCGUGAGUGAUGAAGGUCUUCGGAUCGUAAAACUCUGUUAUCAGGGAAGAACAAAUGUGUAAGUAACUGUGCACAUCUUGACGGUACCUGAUCAGAAAGCCACGGCUAACUACGUG